Molecule: ribosomal RNA, 253 nt
Filed under: uncultured bacterium
Lineage: Bacteria
Description: partial 16S ribosomal RNA
Rfam family: Bacterial small subunit ribosomal RNA
Source: RNAcentral
UACGGAGGGUGCAAACGUUGCUCGGAAUUAUUGGGCGUAAAGCGCACGUAGGCGGAUUUGUAAGUCAGGGGUGAAAUCCCGGGGCUCAACCUCGGAACUGCCUUUGAUACUGCAAAUCUCGAGUCCGGAAGAGGUGAGUGGAAUUCCUAGUGUAGAGGUGAAAUUCGUAGAUAUUAGGAAGAACACCAGUGGCGAAGGCGGCUCACUGGUCCGGUACUGACGCUGAGGUGCGAAAGCGUGGGGAGCAAACAGG